Molecule: ribosomal RNA, 250 nt
Filed under: uncultured bacterium
Lineage: Bacteria
Description: partial 16S ribosomal RNA
Rfam family: Bacterial small subunit ribosomal RNA
Source: RNAcentral
UACGGAGGGUGCAAGCGUUGUCCGGAUUUAUUGGGUUUAAAGGGUGCGUAGGCGGCUAUUUAAGUCAGCGGUGAAAGACUCCGGCUCAACCGGAGCAGUGCCAUUGAUACUGGAUAGCUUGAGUGUUGGAGGGGUACAUGGAAUUGAUGGUGUAGCGGUGAAAUGCAUAGAUACCAUCAGGAACACCGAUAGCGAAGGCAUUGUACUGGCCAACAACUGACGCUGAGGCACGAAAGCAUGGGGAGCGAAC